CGGAACGGGUGAGUAAUGCGUGACCAACCUGCCCCAUGCUCCAGAAUAGCUCUUGGAAACGGGUGGUAAUGCUGGAUGCUCCAACUUGACGCAUGUCUUGUUGGGAAAGUGUUUAGUGGCAUGGGAUGGGGUCGCGUCCUAUCAGCUUGUAGGCGGGGUAAUGGCCCACCUAGGCUUCGACGGGUAGCCGGCCUGAGAGGGCGGACGGCCACAUUGGGACUGAGAUACGGCCCAGACUCCUACGGGAGGCAGCAGCA
This 257-nucleotide ribosomal RNA is filed under the name uncultured Gardnerella sp. RNAcentral describes it as "partial 16S ribosomal RNA". It matches the Rfam family "Bacterial small subunit ribosomal RNA", at positions 98 to 355 of the family's 1533-position model. The record is from RNAcentral. Lineage: Bacteria; Bacillati; Actinomycetota; Actinomycetes; Bifidobacteriales; Bifidobacteriaceae.